Long non-coding RNA from Macrobrachium nipponense, 379 nucleotides. RefSeq lists it as uncharacterized. Lineage: Eukaryota; Metazoa; Arthropoda; Malacostraca; Decapoda; Palaemonidae. The transcript has 3 exons. The record is from RefSeq and is a predicted model, not a curated record.
CAUGGCUCUUGGCACUCAGUGUGGCUGAGUGAACAGUGGCGGAGAGACAAACUUACCUGCAGCUGGUGGUCGGCCUUUCUCUUUCAGAUUUGCCAAUUCAGAUUUUGACCAACCCAUCAGUUUAAAAACAAAAACCAGAGGUUGAUGCAGUGGAGUCUUAUGCUUCAUGAAUGGGACCAAAUAGCCGGCAAACACUGUAGUUGCCAACAUCCUUUCUCGAAUUGUUGAAUGAAGUCUUCCACAGCAAGCCAAGCCAUUUAAAAGAGAGCUUGUAAAUGCAAGGAAUCUGUGGCAUCUGACAUCAAGGGGCAUAGUUGAGGUGGAAGCAUGUCAAGAGACCACUGAAUUCGGAAACGCACCAGUCAUUCUUCAACCCAGG